Long non-coding RNA from Aedes albopictus (Asian tiger mosquito), 952 nucleotides. RefSeq lists it as uncharacterized. The transcript has 3 exons. The record is from RefSeq and is a predicted model, not a curated record. Lineage: Eukaryota; Metazoa; Arthropoda; Insecta; Diptera; Culicidae.
CCCCUCGGUGAAGGCAACGCGUCGACAUGCGAAAAGCUUUUCGUUUGUGAACCGUCAACAACGGGAGCUUUCGCAGAUUCUGACGCAGACUGCGUUGUUUUGUUCGUUCGUCGUCGUGCAACACGAGAGAAACGUCAGACAGUCCUGGCGAUCCGAAACACCACAUGAAAUUCUUCCACUCGUCGUCGUAAAUACCUACAUCUACAUCGGUCUUCAGCGCAUAAUCAAAGUUUUUAUCGCGGAUUUUUUUUGGAUUCCGUCGCUGGCGUAGUGAAUAAUCGGUUGUCCGCGGAUUGCGUCGCGUAGAAGUGUGGACCCUGUAAAACGUACAUGUGUUUCCCGCAUUCAGAUUUAAUCUGAUUGCUUCUGUAGAGCGGAGGUAGACAACACAGAGCGCAGGCAGAGCAGAGCAGAGCGGAGCAGCAGUUCGUUCAGCAACCAACCAUAAUCAACAAGACAAGAAGUGAGUGCAAAAAUCUCGGUAGUUUCUUGCGGAAUUCUUCGGGGAUCUAAACAGAUCGGAAUCCGGACAUUGUUGGUGCGUGAAGACGAAGAACUUGAGCGUUUAGAGCGUUUUGUGACUCCUUGUGUGUAUCGGUGCUUUGUGGAACCUGGUGACAGCAGCGGGUCGGGUCAGCUUUUGCAUAAUAUUUUUGCGAAGAACAACAGUGUGUGUCAAACGCAGGCGGUGAGGCAAGAGAAAGAAAAAAAACUUUCAGUUCGGUGCUCUCGCGAACAAGAUAGUGACGGAAGACGGUCCCCGGUGUAGGAAAGGAGUAGGCACUUUGUGUUGUGACACAGACGACUGUAUCGAAGGAAGUGCCAAGCAUAGUAGUGUAUCAGUGGAUCCGUGAAGAAGUCUCCAGCUUCAGCUCCAGGUUCAGAAAACACGUCCCACACGACGUUCUGGAUGGUGUUCGGGAGGAUGACGUCCAGGUUGGCAGGAGGUCGU